This 771-nucleotide long non-coding RNA is filed under the name Callithrix jacchus (white-tufted-ear marmoset). Its description in RNAcentral is "lncRNA (ENSCJAG00000072708.1)". The record is from RNAcentral. Lineage: Eukaryota; Metazoa; Chordata; Mammalia; Primates; Cebidae.
AUACACUGAGGUGCAAAACAAAUCUGAAUUGCAUCAAUUUGUGAUUUUUCCAUUCACACAUGCAUUGUGUAAAAAUCAGGAUCCCAAAGCGCAGAAACACUACUAUUAUUACCGGUGCCAUUAUUACAACUGCUGCUGUUAAUAAUGAUGAUGGCUGAUGUUUAUCAAGAGUUUUCUGUAUGCCUGCACUGUUUUAACAUUUUACAUAAAUUAAUAAUUUACAUCUCCUAAAACUCCUAUGAAGUCAUUACUAUUAUUUCCUCCAUUUUACAGAUAAAGAAGUAAGACUUGGAGAAGGUAAGUAACUUGUCUAAGAUUAUACAUCGAGGAAUUGAAGGAAUUGGGAAUUGAACCCAGAGUUCAAACAUUAACAAUGUCACUCUACUUUUUGUCUCAUAAUACUAGUAAAAUUAGUUUAUAGUUAGGUAGUGGUUUGUGUCUGUCAUAGCAAUAAUCUCAUUUUAUCCUUGCAACAGUCCAGUGAAAUAGAGGUCAAUUAUCUUUAUUUUACAGAUAUGAAACUUGGUCAAAAAGAUUAAGGGAUUUGCCUAAAGUCACAGUGCUCUGUACGAGUGAAAUCAGAUGGUUCUCCCACUAUGGUGGCAACUAAAAACUUCUCCCAUCCUGUUUCGGAUUCUACUCUACCUUUACUGGCACCAUCUCAUUGAAGAAAGCGUCUAUGAGGAUUCCACUGGAGUCUUGGUUCAUUGUGUAUUUUUCUGAAAAUAAGAAAGAAGAAGAAGAAAAAGAAGAGACAGAAGAAGAAGGAGG